Molecule: ribosomal RNA, 535 nt
Filed under: Escherichia coli
Lineage: Bacteria; Pseudomonadati; Pseudomonadota; Gammaproteobacteria; Enterobacterales; Enterobacteriaceae
Description: partial 23S ribosomal RNA
Rfam family: Bacterial large subunit ribosomal RNA
Source: RNAcentral
CUGUAAGCCUGUGAAGGUGUACUGUGAGGUAUGCUGGAGGUAUCAGAAGUGCGAAUGCUGACAUAAGUAACGAUAAAGCGGGUGAAAAGCCCGCUCGCCGGAAGACCAAGGGUUCCUGUCCAACGUUAAUCGGGGCAGGGUGAGUCGACCCCUAAGGCGAGGCCGAAAGGCGUAGUCGAUGGGAAACAGGUUAAUAUUCCUGUACUUGGUGUUACUGCGAAGGGGGGACGGAGAAGGCUAUGUUGGCCGGGCGACGGUUGUCCCGGUUUAAGCGUGUAGGCUGGUUUUCCAGGCAAAUCCGGAAAAUCAAGGCUGAGGCGUGAUGACGAGGCACUACGGUGCUGAAGCGACAAAUGCCCUGCUUCCAGGAAAAGCCUCUAAGCAUCAGGUAACAUCAAAUCGUACCCCAAACCGACACAGGUGGUCAGGUAGAGAAUACCAAGGCGCUUGAGAGAACUCGGGUGAAGGAACUAGGCAAAAUGGUGCCGUAACUUCGGGAGAAGGCACGCUGAUAUGUAGGUGAAGUCCCUCGCGG